This 27-nucleotide small RNA is filed under the name Bombyx mori (domestic silkworm). RNAcentral's name for it is "ovarian small RNA-36111". Lineage: Eukaryota; Metazoa; Arthropoda; Insecta; Lepidoptera; Bombycidae. The record is from RNAcentral.
UGUUCGGAUUAAGCAUGCUAUGCUAAA